ACACGACUACAUUAGAUACCCCUGUAGUCCUAGCCGUAAACGAUACUCGCUAGGUGUCGGCCACGGUGCGACCGUUGUCGGUGCCGUAGGGAAGCCGUGAAGCGAGUCACCUGGGAAGUACGGCCGCAAGGCUGAAACUUAAAGGAAUUGGCGGGGGAGCACCACAACGGGUGGAGCUUGCGGUUUAAUUGGAUUCAACGCCGGAAAUCUUACCGGGACCGACAGCAACAUGAAGGCCAGGCUGAAGACUUUGCCGGAUUAGCUG
RNAcentral lists this ribosomal RNA (265 nucleotides) under uncultured archaeon. RNAcentral describes it as "partial 16S ribosomal RNA". It matches the Rfam family "Archaeal small subunit ribosomal RNA", at positions 717 to 982 of the family's 1478-position model. The record is from RNAcentral.